CCCUUUCGGGUUUUCAGUCCACCAGGAUACCCUUUUUUGCCCAAGCCGCCCUUGUGGGGUUUUCGACUUGCCGGGUGUACAUUUUUUCUUUUUAUCCCUAAUUUUUGCCCGAACCUUUUUCAUUUUUUUUGGUUCGCCGGGAUGCCCAUUUUUGCCUGGACUAUUUUAUUCUUUUCGUCCAGCGGGUCUCUUUUACGAAGUAUUUUUUUU
Molecule: long non-coding RNA, 210 nt
Filed under: Lathyrus oleraceus (garden pea)
Lineage: Eukaryota; Viridiplantae; Streptophyta; Magnoliopsida; Fabales; Fabaceae
Description: Pisum sativum (pea) long non-coding RNA (PSAT_LNC000217)
Source: RNAcentral